Cervus elaphus (red deer) is the source of this 345-nucleotide long non-coding RNA. RefSeq lists it as uncharacterized. The record is from RefSeq and is a predicted model, not a curated record. The transcript is spliced from 3 exons. Lineage: Eukaryota; Metazoa; Chordata; Mammalia; Artiodactyla; Cervidae.
UAGAAUUCUUCCUAGGUGUUACUGAGGUAAUGGACUCCACAGGAUUUCCGAGACUCCUAGGAUAUGGAACAGAAUGGUUUACGAGCACACUCUCUGAAGACUUGCUUGAGGCCAUCUCCUCAACUUGCUGGUUCUGCCUCAGGAGGGCUGAGCUGGAGCCCGAGACUCUACAUUUCUAAUGAGCUCCAGAUGAUAUCGCACUGCUGAUCUGUGGACCACCCUUUGAGAUGUGAAGGAAUUGAAAACUCAGAGAAGACAAAAAGAAAUAUUCCCAGCAGAAAGGAUACGUGAAAAAGCCUCCCGCCGGUUCUAACAGCAUCUGGAUGUGACAGGGAAAGGCACUCG